GACGAACGCUGGCGGCGUGCUUAACACAUGCAAGUCGAACGGAAAGGCCCUGCGUUUGUGGGGUGCUCGAGUGGCGAUCGGGUGAGUAACACGUGAGUAACCUGCCCUUGACUUUGGGAUAACUUCAGGAAACUGGGGCUAAUACCGGAUAGGAGCUCCUGCUGCAUGGUGGGGGUUGGAAAGUUUCGGCGGGUGGGGAUGGACGCGCGGCUUAUCAGCUUGUUGGUGGGGUAGUGGCUUACCAAGGCUUUGACGGGUAGCCGGCCUGAGAGGGUGACCGGCCACAUUGGGACUGAGAUACGGCCCAGACUCCUACGGGAGGCAGCAGUGGGGAAUAUUGCACAAUGGGCGGAAGCCUGAUGCAGCAACGCCGCGUGCGGGAUGACGGCCUUCGGGUUGUAAACCGCUUUCGCCUGUGACGAAGCGUGAGUGACGGUAAUGGGUAAAGAAGCACCGGCUAACUACGUG
RNAcentral lists this ribosomal RNA (468 nucleotides) under uncultured bacterium. Its description in RNAcentral is "partial 16S ribosomal RNA". It matches the Rfam family "Bacterial small subunit ribosomal RNA", at positions 28 to 507 of the family's 1533-position model. The record is from RNAcentral.